GGCUAGGACGAACGCUGGCGGCGUGCCUAACACAUGCAAGUCGAGCGGGGACAUGCGACGGAGACGAAGUUUCGGAUGGAGUCGAAGAUGCACUGUCUAGCGGCGGACGGGUGAGUAACGCGUGAGCAACCUGUCCCUUACAGGGGAUAACACAGCGAAAGUUGUACUAAUACCGCAUGAGACCACGGUGAGACAUCUCACAGGGGUCAAAGGAGCAAUCCGGUAAGGGGUGGGCUCGCGUCCGAUUAGAUAGUUGGUGAGGUAACGGCCCACCAAGUCGACGAUCGGUAGCCGACCUGAGAGGGUGAUCGGCCACAUUGGGACUGAGACACGGCCCAAACUCCUACGGGAGGCAGCAGUGGGGAAUAUUGGGCAAUGGGGGGAAACCCUGACCCAGCAACGCCGCGUGAGGGAAGAAGGUUUUCGGAUCGUAAACCUCUGUCCUUGGUGAAGAGGAAGAGACGGUAGCCAAGGAGGAAGCCCCGGCUAACUACGUGCCAGCCGCAGC
This 508-nucleotide ribosomal RNA is filed under the name uncultured bacterium. RNAcentral's name for it is "bacterial SSU rRNA". It matches the Rfam family "Bacterial small subunit ribosomal RNA", at positions 26 to 518 of the family's 1533-position model. The record is from RNAcentral.